CCACGCCGUAAACGAUGGUCACUAGGUGUGGGAGGUGUCGACUCCUCCUGUGCCGUAGCUAACGCAUUAAGUGACCCGCCUGGGGAGUACGGCCGCAAGGCUAAAACUCAAAGGAAUUGACGGGGGCCCGCACAAGCAGCGGAGCAUGUGGUUUAAUUCGACGCAACGCGAAGAACCUUACCUGGGCUUGACAUGUUCCUGACCGGUGUGGAAACACACCUUCCCUUCGGGGCAGGAUCACAGGUGGUGCAUGGCUGU
This 258-nucleotide ribosomal RNA is filed under the name uncultured bacterium. Its description in RNAcentral is "partial 16S ribosomal RNA". It matches the Rfam family "Bacterial small subunit ribosomal RNA", at positions 795 to 1052 of the family's 1533-position model. The record is from RNAcentral.